This 243-nucleotide unclassified non-coding RNA is filed under the name uncultured fungus. Its description in RNAcentral is "sequence contains ITS1". The record is from RNAcentral. Lineage: Eukaryota; Fungi.
GUCUUUUGGUUUGUAUAAUUUGGUAUGUUGAUUGGAAGAAAGGUUGAAAAAUGGGGUUGUUUUUAAAAGAAAAAAUAAUAGGGUGCGCCUCGGGGGUGAAAGAAAGCGCGGAAAAGAGCCAAAAAGGCUCCCUCACACGUUUCCAGCACCUAGAAGACGGCACCCUACAGUUGCAACCAAGGGGUGUAUUAAAAAGGACAGUGGUGUUCACUGAUGAUCCUUCCGCAGGUUCACCUACGGAAA